Molecule: long non-coding RNA, 1102 nt
Organism: Nicotiana attenuata
Lineage: Eukaryota; Viridiplantae; Streptophyta; Magnoliopsida; Solanales; Solanaceae
Exons: 4
Source: RefSeq, a predicted model, not a curated record
GGGGUAGAAGAAGAAGAUAUCGGGGUGGCAAAAGGUUGGUCACAACAGAGUACCGGGUAGCGGAGCCUUGGCAUAACUGGUAACGUUGCUGUUAUGUGACCAGGAGGUCGUGGAUUCGAGCCGUGGAAACAGCCUCUUGCAGAAAUGCAGGGUAAGACUGCGUAUAAUAAACUCUUGUGGUCCGAUCCUUCUCCCAACCCACACAUAACGGGAGCUUAGUGCACUGGGGUUAAGUUUACUAGGGCCACACAAGUUUAUCUUCCACAAUGAGUUAGAGGCUAUAGCCUUUGAGGAUAUUCACUUCACGUGGGAGUGAAUGCAUGUUUGUUUUCCUGUCUGUCUACAAGAUGGCUUUCCAACUCGGAUUUGACUUAUACAAACUAACGGUGUAAAGAAUUAUUAUACCAUCCGUGCAUUUUAAUCGGUUGCCAAGGGUAACUGCUUUAUUUAAAGCAUGCUAAUCUCAUUUCUUUAUGGAUGGUUUCCUGUAAUUAUCUUUUAGGUAACCUAGAAGGGGAGCCUUGGCGUAACCAGCAAAGUUGCUGCCAUAUGACUAGGAGGUCACGGGUUCGAGCCGUGAAAUAAGCCUCUGGUCCGGUUCUUCUCCGGACCCUGCGCAUAGCGGGAGCUUAGUGAACUAAGUUGCCCUAUCUUUUAGGUAUCUGUUGGAUGGAUUUGAGUUCUUGAUGGAGAGGGUUUGAAGAAGGGAGGCCCCUACUAAGUUACUUGUUGUUAGGUCUUAUAAGUAUGGCCAAGAGAAAGAAAAAGGAAUCAGAUUUAGUGGUGGUCCUGAGCUUGUCACUUUGGAAAAAUGGGUAGCUGCCUAUAUCACACCCCUUUGGGUGCGGUCCUUCCUGUGACUUGCGUGAAUGCGGGAUAUUCCGUGCACCGGGUUACAUCGACCCCCUUCGAGUGUGGUCCUUACCUCGACUUACGUGAACGCAGGAUACUUUGUGCACCGACAGAGGCAGAACCAGGAUUUAAACUUUAUGGUUCCAACUUUUAAGGUUCUUAGUAUAGAACUCAUUAUAUUCUUAAAUUUGUGGGUUCAUACAUAUAAUUUAUUGCCAUUUUAGUGAUUUUGUGCAUAUAAAUUGGUGCU